Molecule: long non-coding RNA, 217 nt
Filed under: Nicotiana benthamiana
Lineage: Eukaryota; Viridiplantae; Streptophyta; Magnoliopsida; Solanales; Solanaceae
Description: long non-coding RNA (NBEN_LNC026914)
Source: RNAcentral
UUUUUUUUUUUUCGUUAUAAGGGAUCUUUACAUGGGGAAAUGAAGAGGACAAACAGAGGAGGGAAAAAGCAACGGCGUUGAUGGAAGGGAAGGUCUGGUCGGAAGUUGAUGGAGAAGGUGUGCCAUUAUGGCUAUGUUUCUUGUUCACCUGAUCUCCUAUUAGGUCCCUAGGGUGUCUUUAAGAAAAGGACAUUUGCCAGAUCUGGUUAUUUAAAAA